RNAcentral lists this long non-coding RNA (798 nucleotides) under Fukomys damarensis (Damara mole-rat). RNAcentral's name for it is "lncRNA (ENSFDAG00000022130.1)". The record is from RNAcentral. Lineage: Eukaryota; Metazoa; Chordata; Mammalia; Rodentia; Bathyergidae.
GGAAUUUUUAAACCUUAAUAUUAGAGGCUAGCAUGGGAAGUUCAUUUUUAAUGUUUGCUCACUUAUUAAUUUGCUUUUUUAUUCAGUAUUUUAUUGAGAAUGUAGUAUAAGUCAGGCAGUGUCCUUAGACUGAGGGUCAAGUGUAAGAGUAAGAUUUUUCUGUUUAUACAAUGUGUUAGUUAGCUUUCCAUUGCUGUGACAAAGUACCUGAGAAAAUCAACUCAAAAGGAGAAAUUAUGAGCCAAAAUUAAUGUUGGUAAUUUAUAGCGAUCACUUACUAGUUCAGUCCAGUUGACCAGCCAGUUGGAGUUAGAGUGCAUUUUAAAACUCAGGUAUACAUUUGUAUCAUUGAAAUUGUCGGGGCAGAUAGUAGAAUACACUCCAGCUAGUUAAAGUAUACCUUAUAGAAGAGAGCCUGUCUCACCCUGUCACUUAAAUAUGCUGUGUAAAGAGCUUUAUUGUUUGUUUCAGCUUUUGACUGCAUUUGAAAACGCACUGGGCUUAUCAGAUCAGAUUCCUAGCGAAGAUCACCAACUCCUUUAUAGGCAUUUUAUUCAGUGUUUAUCCAAAUUUCCUCAUGAGACUGCUCGGUUGAAGAAGGCCUGUGAAGGAAUGAUAAACAUCUAUCCCACCAUACAGUAUCCAUUAGAAGUGCUCUGUUUGCAUUUGAUUGAGUCAGGUAAUUGCUUCUUUAUUACAUCGUGUGUCCUAGGCGUAUGUGAUUGCGUGGGAGCGCUUUUCUAUCCAUCAGAACAUGUCUUAGUGCUUACCAGGUGUAAGAGAUUGUUUCAGUGUUUC